AGUAGAAAGGAUGGCGGCCGCGAUGUCGGCGGCAGAGAGACAACAGAGAAGGUGGCGGCGGUGACGUUGGCGACGACUUUGCGGUGAUGUUGGCGACAGAGACGUGGCAGAGAGCAACCUUAGCGGCGAUGUCAGCAGCAGAAGUAGCAGGAGCCAGCACUUGGCCGAGAUUGGUAGUGGGGAAGGGUUCGUGCGAAUAGGAAUAGAGAAGAGAGAGAGAGUAAGGGCGUGUUUGGUUCAAAGUCGGAAUCGGAAUCGGAAUUGGAAUCAAAAUAAGCUGGAAUCGGAAUCGGAAUGACUCAUUACCUAAUUCUGUUUGGUUCAUCACCUGAAUCGGAAUCGGAAUAAAUUAUUCCCAUUGUCGGUGUUUGGUUCAUGUGGAUAUAAAAAACGUAAUCAAAUUAAUAUACUAACAUUAUAUUUAUAAUAUAUUAAUUUAAAUUCAAAUUAAAAAUUAAAUAUUAAAAAUUUACAUCAAAAUUUUGAAAUAAUGUCAAAAUUUUAAAUCUAUUUUUUUUAAAAAAAAAAUAAACUUUGAAGUUAAGUGGAUAAUUCAAAAUAUGAAACUAAAUUUUUGAUUUAUUCAAAUUCAAACUUAAAAUUACAAUUUAAAUUUUAAUUUGAAUCCAUAAAUUUAAUUUAAGUUUGAAAUAAAAUUUGAAUAAAACUUUAUAUAAAUUAAAAUUUAAUUUAAAUUCAAAUUCAUAAGUUAGAUUCGAAAUACUUGAUUAAAUUUUAAUUUUUAAUUUAAGUUCAAAUUAAAAUUUAAAAUUAUAUAUUUAAUUUUUAAAUUUUAAUUCAUAUUUUAAUUAAAAAAGUUGAAAAAAUAAAUUUAAUCCGAAUAAAUAUCAAUUCCGUCCGGAUUCAACUUCCAAUCCGGCCUCCUAGGCCGGAUUGAAAAAAGAGGUGAUUGGGGGAUUCCUAUUCCACUCAGGAAUCGGAAUUGGAAUGGGACUCCCGCGUACCAAACACCCACAAACGGAUUUACCCAUUCCAAUUCCGAUUCCAGGGUGAAAAAGAAGCGAACCAAACACGCUCUAAGAGAGAGGGGAUAAAAUUUAUGUACCCAUCUUCCCCACCCCUGUGCUCGAUAAUAUUUUCAGAGUAACUUGCACCAUUUGUAAUACUACAUUAUUGACUAGAUUACAAAUUGUAUGAAUCAAAAACAAUAAUCCUGACAAGAUUGUCUGUAAUCUUAGCAGGAUAAUUCGAACCAAACGCGCCGAUAAUCUUACCACCAUUAGGGCUAGAAAUCUAGCUCGUUAUUCACCAAGUCAACUCGU
Molecule: long non-coding RNA, 1283 nt
Filed under: Ananas comosus (pineapple)
Lineage: Eukaryota; Viridiplantae; Streptophyta; Magnoliopsida; Poales; Bromeliaceae
Description: long non-coding RNA (ACOM_LNC029091)
Source: RNAcentral